This 253-nucleotide ribosomal RNA is filed under the name uncultured bacterium. RNAcentral's name for it is "partial 16S ribosomal RNA". It matches the Rfam family "Bacterial small subunit ribosomal RNA", at positions 524 to 776 of the family's 1533-position model. The record is from RNAcentral.
UAUGUAGGGGGCAAGCGUUGUCCGGAAUUAUUGGGCGUAAAGAGCGUGUAGGCGGUCCGGUAAGUCAGCUGUGAAAGUCAGGGGCUCAACCCUUGAAUGCCGGUUGAUACUGUCGGGCUAGAGUCCGGAAGAGGCGAGUGGAAUUCCCGGUGUAGCGGUGAAAUGCGCAGAUAUCAGGAGGAACACCAAUUGCGAAGGCAGCUCGCUGGGACGUUACUGACGCUGAGACGCGAAAGCGUGGGGAGCAAACAGG